RNAcentral lists this ribosomal RNA (625 nucleotides) under uncultured Polaribacter sp. RNAcentral's name for it is "bacterial SSU rRNA". It matches the Rfam family "Bacterial small subunit ribosomal RNA", at positions 235 to 862 of the family's 1533-position model. Lineage: Bacteria; Pseudomonadati; Bacteroidota; Flavobacteriia; Flavobacteriales; Flavobacteriaceae. The record is from RNAcentral.
GUCCUAUUAGCUAGAUGGUAAGGUAACGGCUUACCAUGGCGACGAUAGGUAGGGGCCCUGAGAGGGGGAUCCCCCACACUGGUACUGAGACACGGACCAGACUCCUACGGGAGGCAGCAGUGAGGAAUAUUGGGCAAUGGAGGAGACUCUGACCCAGCCAUGCCGCGUGCAGGAAGACUGCCCUAUGGGUUGUAAACUGCUUUUAUACAGGAAGAAACACUAGUACGUGUACUAGCUUGACGGUACUGUAAGAAUAAGGACCGGCUAACUCCGUGCCAGCAGCCGCGGUAAUACGGAGGGUCCGAGCGUUAUCCGGAAUCAUUGGGUUUAAAGGGUCCGCAGGCGGUCAAUUAAGUCAGAGGUGAAAUACCAUAGCUCAACUAUGGAACUGCCUUUGAUACUGGUUGACUUGAGUUAUAUGGAAGUAGAUAGAAUGUGUAGUGUAGCGGUGAAAUGCAUAGAGAUUACACAGAAUACCGAUUGCGAAGGCAGUCUACUACGUAUAUACUGACGCUGAGGGACGAAAGCGUGGGGAGCGAACAGGAUUAGAUACCCUGGUAGUCCACGCCGUAAACGAUGGAUACUAGUUGUUGGGCAUUAGCUCAGUGACUAAGCGAAAGUGAUA